AAUCAAGCCUGGGCAAUGGCGGGCACCCCUCCCCCAGCCUCGCUGCCGCCUUGCAGUUUGAUCUCAGACUGCUGUGCUAGCAAUCAGCGAGACUCCGUGGGCGUAGGACCCUCGGAGCCAGGUGCGGGAUAUAAUCUUGUGGUGCGCAGUUUUUUAAGCUGGUCCGAAAUGCGCAAUAUUCGGGUGUGAGUGACCUGAUUUUCCAGGAGGGGGAGGAGCCAAGAUGGCCGAAUAGGAACAGCUCCGGUCUACAGCUCCCAGCCUGUAGAGCGAUGCAGAAGAUGGGUGAUUUCUGCAUUUCCAUCUGAGUGAACAUAGAUUCCUUCAGUAAAUAUUGGGAAAACAUUUGCUUCAGGCCCAUUACUGGGUACCACUUUGAUACAGAGGACACAUCAAGGAACAAGACAGAUAGGACCUCUGCCUCUGGUAAGUUUGCAUUCCAGAGGGAGGAGAAGACAAUGAGCAAGCAAGCCAUCAAGACCACGUCAGAUGAGACGAAUAAAGUCAGAUAGCUUCCAAGGAGUGGAUGCUUAUGGAGAGAUCAC
Molecule: non-coding RNA, 545 nt
Filed under: Pan troglodytes (chimpanzee)
Lineage: Eukaryota; Metazoa; Chordata; Mammalia; Primates; Hominidae
Source: RNAcentral